GGUUAAGGCAGUUCUGACUUUUAUCAUAUGGGCUGUAGACUUGUAUCCUGAAUUUCUUCAACAUUGUGAAUGAGAGUCCCCUGAGUUGUCACAUUAGAGAAUUUUGUUAAUUAUUUUUAGACUUUGAUUAACUUAUCUCUUUGAAAAGUUCCUUAGCUCUUGAAACCACUUAGCUCGGUUAUUCCCAAUUACUCCUAUUACCAACUUGCUCCAGAACUUAAUUCCUCGGAAGGCUACAAAUCUUCUAAUUACAGCCUAAACGUAUUUCAUUAUACACACUUAUUCUUGUGUCACCAUUGACCUUCAGUAUAAACAGGUUUCAUCUGACCCUGAGGUAUUUGUAGGCAAUUUUUAAGCUGUGUUGAACGAGGGCAUGGAAGAAUGAUAUUCUGCAAAUCCUUUUCAAUAACCUGUUAUUGCAGGGGGAUUUGAUGGCUUGUGGUCCUUCACGCUUGUAUUGUGGGCAGUGAUUUCACCUGUAAAUGCCUUCAUUGAGUUGAUGAAUUCAUUAAACCUGGUAGUUUCAUAUGCCUUUCCUACAGUUCCAGGAAAAGAAAUACCAUUGUAUAAUAUUACAGAACGGUUCAGGUUGGAAGGGACCUCAGGAAGUGUAUCUCUAGGUUGACUUCCUACUCAAAACAAGGUCAGCUGUGAGAUCAAAUGAGAUUGCUUAGGGCUUUAAUCAGUCAGGUCUUGAAAACACCCAGGGAUGCAGAAGCAUAGUCUGUGCAACCUGCUCCAAUGUUUCUGUCCUCUUGUGGGUGUGGGGAGGCUGCUGCUUGGUCCCUCUGAAGCUGUAUCUUCUUCAGGCUGAAUGCUGACUUCAUUCUAGUUUGUUGAUGUCUUCAUUAUAUUGGGAAAAUGAAAAAUUUGUGGUAUACUAAAUGUGAUCUAACAAGUAAAGGGGGCUGGUCUAGCCUGUGGUACUGUUAGAGCAUACUGCUGGCUUGUGUUCAGCUCACAGUUUGCUAAAACCCUCUGAUCUUCUCCCACCGAACUGCUCCUCGGCCAGUCAGUUCCCAGCCUGUAUCACUGCAAGGGUUUUUUCCCUUCUAAAGUGCUGGACUUCACAUUUGUCCUUGUUGAACUUCAUGAGAUUCCUGUCAGCACAUUCCUCUAGCCUGUCUAGAUCCAUCAGAAUGGUAACCCUGCCAUUAAGCAUACCAAUUUAUUUCUCCUCCAGUUUGAUGUCAUCUGUGACCUUUGUGAAUAAGUACUACAUUGCCUCCUUCAGGAAACUGAUAAAGAUUUUAAGCAGGACAUACCCGCAAGUAGAACCCUUUGGCACUUCAGUUGUUAUUGGCCUGCUGUCAGAAUAUGCCCUAUUAACCACAACCCUCCAAAUCUGACCUUCCCAUGAGGUUAUUACUUAUUUGAUUAUUCAUCCAUCCGGAAGGUAAUGUUCUAAUUUGGAUACAGAAAGAUGUCAGGAGAGAAUGUCAAUAUGCUUGCUGAAGUCAAGGUAAAUGAGAUCUUUUGCUCUUCCUUCCUAUACACAUCCAUGCAUUUACUCAUGGAAGACAAACUGUUUGGUCAGGCAUGGCUUGCCUUUCUUCAGUUCAUAGUGAUUGCCUCCAUUCAGCACCUUCUCUGUGCACUCAGAAAUGUGUUCCAGGAACCUUUGCUCCAUGACUUCCCUGGAGUCUGAAGUGAGACUAACCAUAUUUUUGACACCUUUUUAAAAUGUGUUCAAUUUUUGCCUUUUUUUUUUCCUCUCCAGUCAUUGAGGAUCUCUGCCAGUCUCUAUAAACUCAAAAAAUGUUAGGCAGCCUUACAAGGGCCUUGCAAUCAUUUCUUGGCAUCCUAGGGGACAGCGUUUUUGGUUCCAUAGAACUCUCUAAGUGUCUCGUUCCUUCAAGCAAUUCCUGACUCAGUCUUUACCCACUGUUGCUGAUUUGUUUUCUGUUUAGACUCUUUUUCUAAGCACAGAAGCUUCAGAGAUGUUUCUGAUGAAGACAGGAUCAGAAAUCAUUAAGUAUCUCAGACUUAUCUGUGUCUCUAGUUAUUAAAUUUUCUAUCCCAUUCAGCAGUGGUCACAAAUUUUCCUUGUUAAGUGCUUCUAGUGUUAAUGCAUUUGUGACCUUUUCGGUUGGGUUUUUUGUUGUUGUUGUUUUUUACUUAAUCUUACAACCUCUAAUUAACAUGAAGUAUAUAUUUAGAAAGACACUCUAAAUUGGUGUCCUUUUCUAUUCAGGUUUUAAAGGAAGACAAAACUAGAGAUGUAGUAAAUGUUUCAGUGUGGAAAAGAUGAAUUCUGCUCUGUCUUUUGCAUAUUCCUGUUCUAUAACUAGUGAAAUAGAGACAUGAUCUUAAAGUUUUUCUGUACAAUUUAACUUGUGAGCAGAUGUUCAGAAAGACUUCAGAAAAUAUAAUUAUUAAGACAAGUUAAAUCUUAGAUUUUCUUUCUUCCAUCAAAAUCUUCAAAAAAAGAUUUUAUUUGUGCCUAUUCUAUAAAAAGAAAAAGAGGAAAGAGAAUUAAGGGUUUAGCUUGAAUUAGCUGGAAACUUGACUUUCACAAAUAAAUCCAGCCUUGGUCUAGUUUAAAGAAAGGAUCAAGUCCUACAUGGUUGUGAGAAAUCAGGAAACAGAAAUGUGUAAACAACUGCAUAAAAGUUUUAAAGAAAAAAAAAUAACAUUUCUGCAAAAUUGGCAUAGUUAUAGUGAAAUGUUAAGUGAAAAUCCUAAAUUGCUUCAUCUUUUGUUUUUUGUAGUGAUAUGUGUAUCCUAGAGGUUUUUUUGAAUGUCUCCAAAAACACAAUUCAGUUCUUCUAAAGUAGUGGUGAUGAGUUCUAAUUGCUUUUAAAUUACUUAUUUAGCCCAAGAAAGUUGGGGCUCACCAACAUAUGGAACAGAAAUAAAAUGUUAACCACAUGUCUGAGAUGCUGGACGACUACCUGGGAGAAAUGAAAAACUGCAGAGCUCAACUAAUAGCGAUUGUCAACAGAGGCAGCGGUUUCCAGGCUCUGUUUUUUUUUGUUGUUGUUGUUGUUUGCUUGUUUGUUUGCUUGCUUGCUUUUGACAUCUUUGAUUUUUCUUGAGGUUUUGGGGUCUGCGACUUCCUGGGAAUCCUCCAAGGAUCAGGAAGGUGGCAGCUGCUGCUAGGUUUCAACUGGGAAGCAAACUGAUGUGCUCUUUCUCAAUCAAGGUCUUCAAGGUCAGCUGAUACUUUAGGAUCAACAAGAAUGUGAGGAAA
This 3193-nucleotide long non-coding RNA is filed under the name Gallus gallus (chicken). Its description in RNAcentral is "lncRNA (ENSGALG00010004321.1)". Lineage: Eukaryota; Metazoa; Chordata; Aves; Galliformes; Phasianidae. The record is from RNAcentral.